CAUCUUUAUAAGUGACGUGUUGAUGACGUCCAUCAGCAAGUUGAACGUGGUAAUAACCUGACACUUUACCCUGUCUAUCUCCAACUCUCGUAUCGCCAAAACUAGUGUAAUCAUCGCCCUUGACUUCGUAACUGAACUUUUAAAUUGCCAAUCUUACACUGGAUUCGUGUGCUGGAAGAGGAUUGUAAGGCUUGCUGGGAGGUGGUUUUGCUGUUUGUUUGUCGUAUCGAGCUUCAGAAACGACGAUGGAAACCAAAACCACGAGAAUAAGCAACUGUCAUCAAAGAGUGGAUUGCAAGUCACUGUUAAGACACUCGAAAGACAACUGACAGUCCAUCAGGUGUUGAUUGUUAUGGUAUAUAUACUGUGGGCUUAGACCAUCAUCACAAAUUGAAAAUGGCUGGGCCAAUUCGAUAUACCAGCCUCACUCUACAAUGUGGGAAAAUAAUCGACAGUGACAAAAACCUUAACCGAGUAAAAAAGCUAUCAAGGGUGUAGUCGAUUUUCACUGAACACCACCAACUGGUUAACGCUUUCUCCCCCCAAUGUAAUUUUGCACAUCGUCAGAAUAUUUUGCCUUCCGUAUUGAUCCUGUCCAGGGUUCUCACCUGUUCGUCUUGCAUUAGAAGUGUAGCUUUGCAUUACAUAAUGAUGAGAGCACAAUGUGAUACGAGACAGUUUCUACCAGAUGUUGAAUAAAUUGGGCUUUCACUGAUCGAUGCCACAAUCGACCACAACCAGCAUCCAUCGUAAGAUCAUGGCGGAGAUUAGAAGGAAAAACUAUACUCUUGAUGUCUCCACACGCAACAUUAAUUAUCAAGCCGCAUCAUCAACGUAUUUUGCGUUUCACCAUAGCGGAAAUCGUCUGUUUUCUUUAUGUUUCCCGCUUGCGUUCAUUGUCGCAACAGUCUGGUAUCCAAUUGAUCUCAACAAUUCCGUCGAAUGGAGUCGAUUCCGAGCUGCCGUUGCAAGGAAAUUGGCCGUCUGCUUGCUUACCGCAAGGUGAAUUCAAAUUGUAUUCAAAGUCUACAACGUAGACGGCAUUAAUACCAAAAUUACGCUGAAUAAUUCAUGAAGAACAAUGGGAUACAUUGACAAUGAAGGUGAUGCCAAUGGUUUAUCUUAUGAAAGCUUUCGUUCUUCAAAAGAAAAGAGUAAGAUCUUGGGCCUUGAAUUCAUUCCGUUUUGACUCUGUGAGAUCAAAAGGAAACGACCAAGACAAAGAGAAAUAAUAAAAAGUUACAUGGUUUCUCUUUUUCGCUAUAGCCGGAGAAGAAUUGAAUGCGUACAACAACAACAACAACAAAACUUGGUAUAUUAAAAGCCUGCAGGUCUUUUAUUGUUCAGUUUAAAACAAAAAAUUUGAAUCGGUGGAUGUUGCAAUAUCAUUAUGAAUAAAGAAGAGAGGAGGCCCCUCCUAACGGGAAAUCUUUUAUGGUGAGAAAAAAAUUCGACUUGUGACCGGAGGUGGCAAUUCAAAAAUAUCUGGAGCAAGGUGAAUGCUAAUAUACAACAUACAGUUGUAGAACGGGCUGCUUUUUAAUCAUAAAAUAAAAUAAAAAAAUAAAAUAAAAAUAUUUUCAUAUUAUGGAAAUGAGAUGCGCUGCAGGAAGAGAGUGAAAGUUUCACUUGGCCCAAGACCA
RNAcentral lists this long non-coding RNA (1643 nucleotides) under Daphnia magna. RNAcentral describes it as "uncharacterized LOC123476992, transcript variant X3". Lineage: Eukaryota; Metazoa; Arthropoda; Branchiopoda; Diplostraca; Daphniidae. The record is from RNAcentral.